GUGCUCUCUUCGGCAGCACAUAUACUAAUAUUGGAACGAUACAGAGAAGAGUAGCAAGACCCUUGCGCGAGGAUGACACACAAAUUCGUGAAGCAUUCCAUAUUUUU
RNAcentral lists this small nuclear RNA (107 nucleotides) under Physeter macrocephalus (sperm whale). The record is from RNAcentral. Lineage: Eukaryota; Metazoa; Chordata; Mammalia; Artiodactyla; Physeteridae.